Molecule: long non-coding RNA, 225 nt
Filed under: Lathyrus oleraceus (garden pea)
Lineage: Eukaryota; Viridiplantae; Streptophyta; Magnoliopsida; Fabales; Fabaceae
Description: Pisum sativum (pea) long non-coding RNA (PSAT_LNC004576)
Source: RNAcentral
UUUGUUUUUGAUGUGAACAAAAAUGCAAAAGAAGAAAGGACUUAGAAUUAGGACUUACCCAUGCUUAAAGGAGUUCAAGAGCAACUAGGCCUCAUGCCUUUAGAAUGCAAAAUUUGUUGAAGAGCAACUAGGCCUCAUUCCUUUAGAAUGCUAAAAUUCAAAGUUGAUCUCAAAGGACUUCUCCUCAAACUUAUUCUUUGUCCAUUCCCUUUAUUGUGUUGUGAU